Molecule: RNase P RNA, 405 nt
Filed under: Streptomyces canus
Lineage: Bacteria; Bacillati; Actinomycetota; Actinomycetes; Kitasatosporales; Streptomycetaceae
Also listed under: 1 other name
Description: RNase P RNA component class A
Rfam family: Bacterial RNase P class A
About the family: Ribonuclease P (RNase P) is a ubiquitous endoribonuclease, found in archaea, bacteria and eukarya as well as chloroplasts and mitochondria.
Source: RNAcentral
CGAGCCGGGCGGACGGCCGCGUGAAGUCCCUCAGGGGCCUUCCCGAGGAACGUCCGGGCUCCACAGGGCAGGGUGAUGGCUAACGGCCACCCGGGGUGACCCGCGGGAAAGUGCCACAGAAAACAAACCGCCGGGGACUUCGGUCCUCGGUAAGGGUGAAACGGCGGUGUAAGAGACCACCAGUGCCCAGGGCGACCUGAGCAGCUAGGUAAACCCCACCCGGAGCAAGGUCAAAAGGGGCCGCUGUAAUGGUGGCCCUGCGGGGACGUUCGAGGGCUGCCCGCCCGAGUCCCCGGGUAGACCGCACGAGACCGGCGGCAACACCGGUCCUAGAUGGAUGGCCGUCGCUGAGGGAUUCGCGAGAACCCCUCAGAACAGAACCCGGCGUACAGCCCGACUCGUCUG